Non-coding RNA from Malus domestica (apple), 652 nucleotides. Lineage: Eukaryota; Viridiplantae; Streptophyta; Magnoliopsida; Rosales; Rosaceae. The record is from RefSeq and is a predicted model, not a curated record.
GAAGGCGAACAAGAUAAAUCUAGAGAAGAAGACUCUUCUCCACCAUUUGAGUUCGAGGCCUUUCUCCUAUAGGAUGGAGGCGCGACGGAAGGAAGGUUCAAAAUUUCUGGAGAUCAACAUCUUUGCUGACAUUUAUGUAUGACUUGGGAAUGAGUUGACCGAAUCCCUUCAUGCCACUAUGGUGGAGAAGAGUCAAUCGGUGCUUCAAGAGUCUGCCUCCCAGCUUCCUUCGGACACUCCAAUUGAGUCUGUGGAUCCCCCUAAGGAUGCAAGGUUUCACAUCUUCAUAGAGACGUUGGACCAAACUUUCGGUCGGAAGCCAAGGACUUAUUGUUGGUGGAUGGGAAAUGCCAAGCGGCGGGAGUAAAGCCUCGUCAUCCUCGCAGUCAAAGGGCCAGGUUACGGCUUUGACGCAAGAAAUCGUUGGCCUGAGGAGUGAGCUGGCAUCGUACAAGUCUCAAAUGUAAUGCUUGUACAAGCCCUUAGUUCCUCCGAAAUACAUUUCCCCAGUUUUUCUGCACCAUCGCCCUCACAACCCUUCCACACCGAGCAAGCACAGCAAUCAGGCCCGUCAACCUUCGACCUCAUCCCCAACCAACAGCAAGAUCCUUCAAAUGACUAUAGAUUUUUCCACUUUUUUUUCAUAGUUUUG